AGGCGCCUACGGGGGGCAGCAGUGGGGAAUAUUGCACAAUGGGGGAAACCCUGAUGCAGCGACGCCGCGUGAGUGAGGAAGUAUUUCGGUAUGUAAAGCUCUAUCAGCAGGGAAGAAAAUGACGGCACCUGACCAAGAAGCCCCGGCUAACUACGUGCCAGCAGCCGCGGUAAUACGUAGGGGGCAAGCGUUAUCCGGAUUUACUGGGUGUAAAGGGAGCGUAGGCGGCUGUGUAAGCCAGAAGUGAAAGCCCGAGGCUCAACCACGGGACUGCUUUUGGAACUACAUGGCUUGAUUGCAGGCGG
RNAcentral lists this ribosomal RNA (305 nucleotides) under uncultured bacterium. RNAcentral's name for it is "bacterial SSU rRNA". It matches the Rfam family "Bacterial small subunit ribosomal RNA", at positions 333 to 655 of the family's 1533-position model. The record is from RNAcentral.